CAGUCGCCGCGGGAAUACGUAGGUCCCGAGCGUUGUCCGGAUUUAUUGGGCGUAAAGCGAGCGCAGGCGGUUAGAUAAGUCUGAAGUUAAAGGCUGUGGCUUAACCAUAGUACGCUUUGGAAACUGUUUAACUUGAGUGCAGAAGGGGAGAGUGGAAUUCCAUGUGUAGCGGUGAAAUGCGUAGAUAUAUGGAGGAACACCGGUGGCGAAAGCGGCUCUCUGGUCUGUAACUGACGCUGAGGCUCGAAAGCGUGGGGAGCAAACAGGAUUAGAUACCCGAGUAGUCCCUGUCUCUUAUACA
This 301-nucleotide ribosomal RNA is filed under the name uncultured bacterium. RNAcentral describes it as "partial 16S ribosomal RNA". It matches the Rfam family "Bacterial small subunit ribosomal RNA", at positions 509 to 808 of the family's 1533-position model. The record is from RNAcentral.